Molecule: long non-coding RNA, 326 nt
Filed under: Nicotiana benthamiana
Lineage: Eukaryota; Viridiplantae; Streptophyta; Magnoliopsida; Solanales; Solanaceae
Description: long non-coding RNA (NBEN_LNC005462)
Source: RNAcentral
ACUUCGCCUGCCUACAGCCCCACUUCUCCAUCUUACAGCCCCACUUCGCCAUCUUACAGCCCCACUUCGCCAUCUUACAGCCCCACUUCACCUUCUUACAGCCCCACCUCACCAAGUUAUAGUCCAACUUCUCCAUCAUAUAGUCCCACUUCUCCUGCAUACAGUCCUACCUCCCCUGGUUACAGCCCAACAUCUCCCAGUUACAGCCCAACAUCACCAUCUUAUAGUCCUACAUCACCAAGUUACAAUCCCUCGGCGAGAUACAGCCCCUCCCUUGCAUAUUCGCCAACCAGUCCAAAGCUGUCUCCGUCUAGUCCAUACAGCCC